GUGCCAGCCGCCGCGGUAAUACGUAGGGUGCGAGCGUUGUCCGGAAUUACUGGGCGUAAAGAGCUCGUAGGCGGUUUGUCGCGUCGUCUGUGAAAUUCUGCAACUCAAUUGCAGGCGUGCAGGCGAUACGGGCAGACUUGAGUACUACAGGGGAGACUGGAAUUCCUGGUGUAGCGGUGAAAUGUGCAGAUAUCAGGAGGAACACCGGUGGCGAAGGCGGGUCUCUGGGUAGUAACUGACGCUGAGGAGCGAAAGCGUGGGUAGCGAACAGGAUUAGAUACCCUGGUAGUCCACGCCGUAAACGGUGGGUACUAGGUGUGGGUUCCUUUUCACGGAUCCGUGCCGUAGCUAACGCAUUAAGUACCCCGCCUGGGGAGUACGGCCGCAAGGCUAAAACUCAAAGGAAUUGACGGGGGCCCGCACAAGCGGCGGAGCAUGUGGAUUAAUUCGAUGCAACGCGAAGAACCUUACCUGGGUUUGACAUACACCAGACGUAUGUAGAGAUACAUAUUCCCUUGUGGUUGGUGUACAGGUGGUG
RNAcentral lists this ribosomal RNA (538 nucleotides) under uncultured Gordonia sp. RNAcentral's name for it is "bacterial SSU rRNA". It matches the Rfam family "Bacterial small subunit ribosomal RNA", at positions 505 to 1043 of the family's 1533-position model. Lineage: Bacteria; Bacillati; Actinomycetota; Actinomycetes; Mycobacteriales; Gordoniaceae. The record is from RNAcentral.